GAUCUCCCCUCACACCCAACAGCACCACCUUCCGAGACUAGCGGCUCAUUACCGCCCAGUCCCCGCGGCCGGCGCAAGAACUCCUCGCCGGGCCCCAUUCCAGGCUGGGUCGGGUCUUUAGAAUAAGGACCAGUUGUGUGUCUCCCUGUCGCUGGCAGCGGAUCACUUUCUGGCUGAAGAAAAGACAAAACGACGAGGGAAACAAUAGGACCUGAUGCAGGCGAGUCUGACACACAGGAA
RNAcentral lists this long non-coding RNA (240 nucleotides) under Homo sapiens (human). RNAcentral's name for it is "HSALNT0136057". The record is from RNAcentral. Lineage: Eukaryota; Metazoa; Chordata; Mammalia; Primates; Hominidae.